GAUGAACGCUGGCGGCGUGCCUAAUACAUGCAAGUCGAGCGAACAGACGAGGAGCUUGCUCCUCUGACGUUAGCGGCGGACGGGUGAGUAACACGUGGAUAACCUACCUAUAAGACUGGGAUAACUUCGGGAAACCGGAGCUAAUACCGGAUAAUAUAUUGAACCGCAUGGUUCAAUAGUGAAAGACGGUUUUGCUGUCACUUAUAGAUGGAUCCGCGCCGCAUUAGCUAGUUGGUAAGGUAACGGCUUACCAAGGCGACGAUGCGUAGCCGACCUGAGAGGGUGAUCGGCCACACUGGAACUGAGACACGGUCCAGACUACUACGGGAGGCCGCAGUAGGGAAUCUUCCGCAAUGGGCGAAAGCCUGACGGAGCAACGCCGCGUGAGUGAUGAAGGUCUUCGGAUCGUAAAACUCUGUUAUUAGGGAAGAACAAAUGUGUAAGUAACUAUGCACGUCUUGACGGUACCUAAUCAGAAAGCCACGGCUAACUACGUG
This 497-nucleotide ribosomal RNA is filed under the name uncultured bacterium. Its description in RNAcentral is "partial 16S ribosomal RNA". It matches the Rfam family "Bacterial small subunit ribosomal RNA", at positions 28 to 507 of the family's 1533-position model. The record is from RNAcentral.